UACGUAUGGUGCAAGCGUUAUCCGGAUUUACUGGGUGUAAAGGGAGCGUAGGCGGCGCGUUAAGUCUGAUGUGAAAACCCGAGGCUCAACCACAGGAGUGCAUUGGAAACUGGCGUGCUGGAGUGCCGGAGAGGUAAGCGGAAUUCCUAGUGUAGCGGUGAAAUGCGUAGAUAUUAGGAGGAACACCAGUGGCGAAGGCGGCUUACUGGACGGCAACUGACGCUGAGGCUCGAAAGCGUGGGGAGCAAACAGG
Molecule: ribosomal RNA, 253 nt
Filed under: uncultured bacterium
Lineage: Bacteria
Description: partial 16S ribosomal RNA
Rfam family: Bacterial small subunit ribosomal RNA
Source: RNAcentral